AUGUCGGCCUGGUUUGAGCUCUAGGUGCAAGAUCUCAAUGACCUGCUCUCGGAUGGCAGAGGCUGCUACAGCCUCCUGAGCCAGCCCUGCAACGAGGUCACCCCGAGGAUCUACGUGGGCAACGCGUCUGUCGCUCAGGAUAUCCCCAAGCUGCAGAAACUGGGUAUCACCCAUGUCUUGAACGCUGCUGAGGGCAGGUCCUUCAUGCACGUCAACACCAAUGCCAGCUUCUACAAGGACUCUGGCAUCACCUACUUGGGCAUCAAGGCCAACGACACGCAGGAGUUCAACCUCAGCGCCUACUUCGAAAGGGCUGCAGACUUCAUUGAGCAGGCCUUGGCUCAAAAGAACGGCCAGGUGCUCGUCCACUGCCGCGAGGGUUACAGCCGCUCCCCGACUCUCGUCAUCGCGUACCUUAUGCUGCAGCAGAAGAUGGACGUCAAGUCUGCCGUGAGCAUCAUGAGGCAGAACGGUGAGAUCGGCCCCAACGAUGGUUUCCUGGCCCAACUCUGCCAGCUCAAUGACAGACUAGUCAAGGAGGGGAAAUUGAAACUCUAGGGCACCCCGCUCCCUCCUCUUGAGAGGUCUGCCAGGGGGGGGCCUGGUUGAAGGUGUCCCAAGCCGCCAUGUUUAGGAAACACACUGUACCCCGCUCCCAGCAUCACAAGGCACGUGCCCACAAGUCUGUCCCUACACAGUCCGGGGCCACUUUCCCCCUGGGGAGCACAUAAAGAUGCUUGCUGAGGAGGGCAUCCUCGUUCCCUGA
Microcebus murinus (gray mouse lemur) is the source of this 766-nucleotide non-coding RNA. The record is from RefSeq and is a predicted model, not a curated record. Lineage: Eukaryota; Metazoa; Chordata; Mammalia; Primates; Cheirogaleidae.